AAGUGCACAACUUGCAGUCUUGUGUUUGAGUCAGAGCGACGCCUGGACAAGUUUCCGUAGCGCAAUGGCUAUAGCUGCCAGCCGUCCAGCUGGACUUUACAGUCCUGCGUAACUCAUUUAAUGACUCAACCAAAAAGGGGGGCUUGACGAUACCCAGAUAGCAAAUCAUUUUGGCUUUGUUUAGGCAUACAUUUGGCCUCUUUGGGCUUGUUUUGGCAAAUGAUAUAGCUCCUCUAAGAUGUUUGGGUGACCUGUGGCUUAAUGAUCUGCCAUAAUAAAUAAUGGGCGCCAAGUAAUUCUGGCUGAGUUAUGGCUUAUCUGGUUAACCAGCCGACAAGGUGAUGAGCGGGACUGCAUCUCAUGACUUCGGGUGCGCUUAUGGCUUAUGUCUGCUUAACCAGCCGACAAGGUGAUGAGCGAGACUGCAUUUCAUGACUUACGGGUGCGCUUUGACAUCUAUCCGGCUUGCCAUAAGGCUGCGCCAAGAGCGGGAAUUUCGAAGAUCCAUGCCCAGAAAAGAGCCCCCCAACAUCAGUCUGCCAGCGUGAUAACUUAAGAAGAAUCAGAACCCGGUGAAUCUGAAUGCUGAGAUGGCGAGCCAAAACCGGAUCGUGGAUGCAGUGUGGCCAACUGUAUGAUCCAGAACAAACCUGAUUCGCUUAUCAAGAAGACAUCAGACCCCAGUCCUGCCCGUCAGGUAGACAGGUAGUAAGAUAGAGAUACAGUACACAUAAGGACCCGGAACUCGCGGAACCUUCAAGCAUACCCCAUUUCAUUGCACUAAAUGGACUAUAUCCUGGAACAUUACACACACUGAAAGGAUUGACGAUUUCCAUCUCUCUUUUUUUUUUAUUUUUCAUUGAUUUAUAUUGUGGUUGUUGCAUUCAUCGCUUUAUAUUGUGGUUGUUGCAUGACCGAUUGUGAAGCAAUAAACUGGUAAUUUGUUCAACUUGUUUUAUUUGGUUCUUGGGCUGCCUCUCCUUCAAAUCUAGGUAGAUAUUUAGUGUUUUUUUCCAGUACUGGCCCCAGACAAGCGCUACAAUUAGUUGUAUUAUUAUAUUAUAUAUUUAUUAUUUAUUAUUAUUAGUAACUAUUAUGAGUUUAAACGUUCUUUAAAUAUUCUAUCCAAUGAAUGUACAUUAGAAUAUCAGUAUAAUUUCUCUGGAUGUUACAGAACUCUGCUUGGAUGUUUUAAAGUAGGUGCUCAGCUCUUGCCCAAACUUGAAAAACUGCUUGAUCGAAUACUUGGAAUGACGCAAGGGACAACUCAAAUUCUCUGCCUUUUCCUCUUUAUUUAGAAGUGAAGUGCAUAUAGCAUAGUGUAGUUAGGUUGUUAGGUUGAAAACCUUCAAACAUAAAUCACAAGAAAAAAGAGACAUUGCAUUAUUAUCAAAUAUGUUUUAGACUAAACACAUGACAUUUGAUACUGCUAAUCAAAUCAUUGCAUCUUCUGCAGUUAAAUAAGCAACAAAGUCCUACAAAAGCACAUCAAAUAAUUAAAGGUUUCAAAUAUAAGCAAGCAAAGUAUGAUUUUGGUUAAACAUAAGGAUGCCUUUUACUUUACAAUUUCGGUCAGCAUUCAGAUCAAGCCUGAUAUUUUACAAACUAUCAUUUUGCAAUGCAACUCAAGUUAAUUACAUACGCAACAACUGAUCAGGCACAAACAGGCUACUACUCCAACUUAAGUACUGAUGUAAUGCCUUAAUAUACCUUUUCAACAUUUCACAUAUUUAUAUUCAUUUAAAUAAGAAAGUCCAUUUCUCUACCAGUUGCGUCUCCAUUGUUUUGAUCAUGAGCUGAGCGUCUUUCUUUGUUUUAAUUGUUUGCUGGAAGAUUUCCUCUGUUCUCAACUUCUCUCUCACAAACUUUUCCUCCCAUGCAGGUGUUCAGGCGUGCAGGUGAUUGCCUGCCACAGUGAGGGCGGGGCUUGGUUUCUCACACGCACUGACUUUCUCUCUGCCCCCUGCAGGUUCGGAGGUUUGGAGCUGAGACUUGGAGCUGAGAUUGUGGCUGUUGCUGUGCAUGAUUUCCCAGUGCGCUUUGAUUUGACGCGACAGUAGGGUUAAACUGGUUAACAGAGUUUGAUUUUUGUUCUCAUGCAGAAGACCAGCUACUAUGUAUUCCGUUGUCUGCUUUGACAAUUCCGAGGAGGUGGAGGUUAUGCCAACGCAAUGGUACAAUAGUGGGACAUGCAGGUGGCCCCCCCACAAGGCUGAGGGAGUCAAUCGGGCCAUAAGGCAGCUGGAAGAGCCCCAAGAUUUCUGGCGUCUAUUCGACAAUGCCAGGGUUUUUUUUUCUUCAGGAAUGUAUCCUUAAAUAAUCAACUGAUCAGUACUGAUAUCAAUAAAUACAUUCCGAAAUACGAGUUCUGUUCAACAGAUAACUAUCUGGAGUGUCGCCAGAAGCUGCCACUGGCUCAAAACCAGACUGAUUUGGCAUCAGAGGCCGAAGACCCAACAACAGACCGCAGACCCAAAAGAAAAAUCAAGCCAAGUAGACAUGUCCGACUGGACUUUGAAAAUCAAGACCCCAGUCCUCCAAAGAAACAGGCCUUCCAAAAUCUCCCUAAGGCCCCUGCGAUCUCUGGACCGUCCAACAUCAGGCGCUUCAUAACAGCGCAGCCCACACAGAGUGGGUGUUAUGAGGUCCCUGUGAUCAAUGAGGAUCCUCAGGAUUUUCAGCUCUUCUGCGUGACCUGUUGGUUAACCAACAAAUCCUGAUGGACCAGCAAAAGACCAUGAUACGCAUGAUCCAAGACCUCCACAGACCCAUCCAGGGAGGUCAGAGGAUGUCCACCACCUCAAGGCAUACUGCCUAUUUUCCGCUAGGGGAUAAACUGGCUCUGGAGGCCCUGGAGGGCGACCUGGCAAGCCAGCGGGACCUUCGUCAGGAAUUGAUUAUCACUCUUGGAUUGGCAGGGGGAGCUGAUGCCAAGGACACAGUGUGGCGCAUUCUCAAACAGGCCAUCAAAAAUGACCUUGCCAAGAACAUCUCAUGGCGGGGGAUGAAUGGAAAGAUUUCAUUCGAGAAACUACUUCUGAAGGCAGUAGUGAUGGAUGCAGUGAGGCGCAAUCCAUCCUGCUCAACCGCAACGGAUGUGCAGAUUGCGAAUGCCAUCAAACGAUGGUUUUACUGGGCUGGGGAUAGAGAGGGAGGGAGGAAAAAACGCCAGCCGGCUCCAAACCUGGAGCAAACUGAUUAAAUCUAUUAAAAGAUACUACUUUCAAAUAUUUUGUUUCAUUAUUUGUGCAUUAUACACAUAGAACAUAAAUUAACAAUGCAACUUAUGAGGUUUGGGUGAGUUAUGGAAUCACUUUGGGUCAGUUAUGGGAUCACUAUGGGUCAGUUAUGAGAUCACUUUGGGUCAGUUAUGGGAUCACUUUGGGUCAGUUAUGGGAUCACUUUGGGUCAGUUAUGGGAUCAAUUUGGGUCAGUUAUGGGUUCACUAUGGGUCAGCUUUGGGAUCACUUUGGGUCAGUUAUGGCUUCUUUUUGGCAAGGUUCUGGGGAUUUCGGCCACUCUUUGGGAUACUUCUUUCUACAUUUUGGUAUUCCAAAAUUGGUUUUGGCUAGAUUUUGGCCUCCUUUUGUUUUUCUUUUGGCACACCUAAUUUGGCCCAAACUUUGGCCAUGCGUCAUUCCAAAGCUUUGCCAAAAUGGCAUGCCAGUUUUGGGCCAUAAGAUUUUUGCUACAUCCUAUAUAUUAAAAGGAGCAUCGAAUGCUACUGCAUACUGGCGCUGACGAGAUGCGGGCCGCCAUCUCGGAAUGGUGAUCAGCUCCACUCAAAACUGGGAACAUAAUCCCCAAGAAGGGGAAAUAAAAAACCGGUCAGCUAUUUUUAAGUUGAAGAAACAAUAUAUGAUUAGGCUAUAUCCACAUAUCCUACAUAAACAAUGUAUGAAUACAUUAUAUAUGUAUAUAUCUUACCUUAUAGACUAUGUCUCUGACUGUUGCUACAGCAGCAGAGUUUAUUCUGUCUUGACACUUUGUAUUGAUAUUUUGUAUGUACUUUUAUUAAUUAUUAUAAUGUUUACAGUGAUUGUUUUAUAUGUAUUUUUAUGCAUGUCACUUUGGAAUAAAGCGUCUGCCAAAUACUUUAACAACAUACUUAUAUAAACACCUGAAAGUUUUAAUAUCAGCUAAAACCACCAAUCUGUUUCACUGGAUUCAGAUAAAACCAAAUUCUGUCUUACCCAACAAUGUUAAUAUUUGAAUAUUGUUACUUGAAUGACUCCAUUUAUAUCAUGGUUACAAUUAUACUGUUAAGAAAGUAUUGUCUUAUACUUUGCCUAAAAUGAGAAUGCGUCAUGAUACAAAUCUGCUGAUUGAAUGUUUAUUUAUGGAUGGAUGAAUGGAAUGGACUGGAGUUUGCAUGUGGGAAUUGAUACAGGAAAAUGAUCAGACCAGAACGGGUGAAAUUCAAAAUACAAUAAAAAGCAGCCAGGGUAAAUGCAGACUGGCCAUUUACAGUGUUUCAAAAAUAAGAAAAUAAAAUACAAAAGAAUUAUCAUGGAAAAUAAAUAAUUAAAUAAUUAAAAUAAAUCUAUCGCAUUAGGCCUGAUUAUCAUGAAUUAGGAGUGAAAUUCAAAAUACAAUAAAAAGCAGUCAGGGUAAAUGCAGAUGGACCAAUGUAGUGUAUGCAAGGCAAUGUGAAUGUAAAAAAUAUCAAUAUCUGUGUGGGAUUAAAACCCUGAAA
Molecule: long non-coding RNA, 4696 nt
Organism: Gadus macrocephalus (Pacific cod)
Lineage: Eukaryota; Metazoa; Chordata; Actinopteri; Gadiformes; Gadidae
Exons: 7
Source: RefSeq, a predicted model, not a curated record